GGUAAUAGCAAAUGUUUGACUUCGACCCUUGAAGACUGAGAUGAAGAAAAGUUCCACGUGAACAGUAAUUGAAUGUGGGUCAAUCGAUCCUAGGAUGAUGGCUUGUACUAUGUAUCAUUGAGAGGGAAAGUUCACUUUUCUCUCGGAUAUCAAAAGGGAACAUUAAUAUUCCCUAAUGUAGAUACAGGGAUUGUGAUUCGUAUGAGUUUGCCUGCGCGGUUGCCCAUUCGAACUUUAUUACGUCGCUUAGAGAUCGAGAUAAAGUUCUAUUCUCUAGUUAAGGAACGGACUCCCUGGAAUCGGCUCAACCGUAGAUAGGGGCGUUGUUUCCGUAAAGCAUCGCACUUUCUGUGAUGUCUCGUGUUCUCUGGGCGAUCUUUGGAAAAUCAAGGAAGGCUAUUAAUCUGUGGUACAUUGUACCGACAUCCACAUCAGGUCUCCAAGAUGAAGAUAGUC
Molecule: non-coding RNA, 456 nt
Filed under: Angiostrongylus costaricensis
Lineage: Eukaryota; Metazoa; Nematoda; Chromadorea; Rhabditida; Metastrongylidae
Description: Eukaryotic large subunit ribosomal RNA
Rfam family: Eukaryotic large subunit ribosomal RNA
Source: Rfam by way of RNAcentral